RNAcentral lists this ribosomal RNA (400 nucleotides) under uncultured bacterium. Its description in RNAcentral is "bacterial SSU rRNA". It matches the Rfam family "Bacterial small subunit ribosomal RNA", at positions 355 to 747 of the family's 1533-position model. The record is from RNAcentral.
UGGGGAAUCUUGCGCAAUGCGCGAAAGCGUGACGCAGCAACGCCGCGUGCGGGAAGACGGCCUUCGGGUUGUAAACCGCUUUCAGUUGGGACGAAGCUUCGCCGGUGAAUAGCCGGCCGGAGUGACGGUACCUUCACAAGAAGCCCCGGCUAACUACGUGCCAGCAGCCGCGGUAAUACGUAGGGGGCAAGCGUUGUCCGGAAUCAUUGGGCGUAAAGCGCGUGUAGGCGGCUUCGUCAGUCCGUUGUGAAAGUCCAGGGCUCAACCCUGGAAUGCCGAUGGAUACUGCGGAGCUCGAGUCCGGAAGAGGCAAGUGGAAUUCCUGGUGUAGCGGUGAAAUGCGCAGAUAUCAGGAGGAACACCAAUGGCGAAGGCAGCUUGCUGGGACGGUACUGACGCU